Long non-coding RNA from Bombus impatiens (common eastern bumble bee), 1333 nucleotides. RefSeq lists it as uncharacterized. The transcript has 2 exons. NCBI's taxonomy places the organism in Eukaryota, Metazoa, Arthropoda, Insecta, Hymenoptera, Apidae. The record is from RefSeq and is a predicted model, not a curated record.
UUUAUAUUCAAGGGUACAAUAAUAUGGACCUCUCCUUAUUUCGAAUUUUUUGUUUCACUAAAUUCUAUUUUCUUUGUAACAGCGAUCUCCAGGUCGCGGAUAUACAAAAGAAAAAGUGUAGACUUUUUCUUGAAGUAAUUACUUCAACAAUAGUCCCCGUAAUACUUCUAGCUAAGAGAAUUCAGAUUUCAAGAAUAAUUUGCGUCGGAUAACAUUUCUCUUUUCCAUGAAGUGGUGAGCGAGUUACACGAAUGGAAUGGUCUCGAAGGAAUAGAAAAAAUGAAUUCGAAAGUGGUGGCAAUAGACGGCGAGACACUUUUUACUGGUGGAAAUGCCGCAGACAUGAUCCUGCUGUCGGGGGACGGAGAGGGGCGGUUCGUGGUAACGAACCAUCGAGAGCAGCUUCUUUUUACCUCGACAAUCAGGUCAUUGGGCCUGCAACACCACUGGGAAUAGCCGAAUGCCGUGAACCACUCGAAUCGCUCCUUCAGCAAUCCAUUUCUCGGCUCUUUCCUUUCUAACGACAGCCAGCUGCAGUAUCGACGUCAGUACUACGAAAAAUGACGUCACCAGACGCAUCGAAAUAUAUAUCUGAUUUUGGCAUGUGUCAUGUAUGUUUGUCAUCGUAUUGCUGUGGACCUAAGAAUAUCGAUCAAUAUCGGUUUUAUUCUAGCGAAAUAAGGGAGUUUUUCAAGAUAUACAAAAAGCAAGUAUCUCUUUGGGAAUACAUGUACAUCUGGCUGCUAUUCAGUUGGUUGUUUAUAUUCUUUAAUACAGUAAUUAGGAUGUUUAUACAUUUAUGAGGAGUUCGAAAGUGCGGUGUAUUUCAUUGCUCUUUACGAAUCAUAUAUAAAUCAUACUUAUUAAGACCAUAGAUUGAAAAGUGAAAACAAAAGCGAUGAUGUUAUUAACAUAUUCUGUGAAAUUUACUUUAGAAUUUACAAAUAAAACCUUGUUUUAACGUUGGCCCUCAAUGUUAAAUGUUAAAGAAACACUAUCACACAACCGGAAACAAAGCAAAAUAUUUCCAACAAAUAAAAUUUAUUUUUUUGAGAUUACUAACACCAAUGGCCGAAUAUGUUUUAAGUUUCGAAUAUAAUAUAAAAGACACAACUAAAGCAAAUCCUAUAAUCAAUAUCAUAUAAUCAAAUGAUAAUCAAAUCAAUGUCAGUGUUUCUCUUUGGAGGAAGAAUGCAAACUCAUCUUUAAAGACAAAGAUACCGAUUUCAAGAGAUAUUUAUCGUACUAUCCGGAUGUAGAAGCAACAUUGAAUUUUUUAUUUUUCUUGAUAAUUUUCAUUCUCAAAGGAAUCCAGACGUAGCAACGUCUGCGC